UACGAAGGGGGCUAGCGUUGCUCGGAUUGACUGGGCGUAAAGGGCGCGUAGGCGGAUAGUACAGUCAGGCGUGAAAUUCCUGGGCUCAACCUGGGGGCUGCAUUUGAUACGUGUCGUCUUGAGUUCGGAAGAGGGUCGUGGAAUUCCCAGUGUAGAGGUGAAAUUCGUAGAUAUUGGGAAGAACACCGGUGGCGAAGGCGGCGACCUGGUCCGAUACUGACGCUGAGGCGCGAAAGCGUGGGGAGCAAACAGG
RNAcentral lists this ribosomal RNA (253 nucleotides) under uncultured bacterium. RNAcentral describes it as "partial 16S ribosomal RNA". It matches the Rfam family "Bacterial small subunit ribosomal RNA", at positions 524 to 776 of the family's 1533-position model. The record is from RNAcentral.